CUGGUUGAUCCUGCCGGAGGCUACUGCUAUUGGAAUCCGAUUAAGCCAUGCGAGUCUAAAGGACUUCGGUCCUUGGCGGACGGCUCAGUAACACGUGGAGAACCUGCCCUCAGGAGGGGGAUAACCCCGGGAAACUGGGAAUAAUACCCCAUAGGUCUAGGAUGCUGGAAUGCUUCUAGGCUGAAAGCUCCGGCGCCUGAGGAUGGCUCUGCGGCUUAUCAGGUUGUAGUGGGGGUAACGGCCCCACUAGCCUACGACGGGUACGGGCCUUGGGAGAGGGAGCCCGGAGAUGGACUCUGAGACACGAGUCCAGGCCCUACGGGGCGCAGCAGGCGCGAAACCUCCGCAAUGCGCGAAAGCGCGACGGGGGGACUCCCAGUGCCUACGCUCAGCGUAGGCUGUUCCCGAGCCUACAAAGCUCGGGGAGUAAGGGCUGGGUAAGACGGGUGCCAUCUGUGACGGCAGUCAAAAUUUGGCUUGCCGUUGCAAGGCAUAAGCCGCCGCGGUAAUACCCGCAGCCCGAGUGGUGGCCGCUAUUAUUGGGCCUAAAGCGUCCGUAGCCGGCCCGGUAAAUGCCUGGGUAAAUCGUCUGGCCCAACCAGACGAAUUCCGGGUAGACUGCCGGGCUAGGGACCGGAGGAGGGAGAGGGUACUCCAGGGGUAGGGGUGAAAUCAGCAAAGUGAGUUGCAGAUGCGACUUGCUUUGCAAGUCACAAUCCUGUAAUCCCUGGAGGACCACCGGUGGCGAAGGCGCUCUCCUAGGACGGGUCCGACGGUGAGGGACGAAAGCCAGGGGAGCAAACCGGAUUAGAUACCCGGGUAGUCCUGGCCGUAAACGAUGCGGGCUUUGUAUUGGAAUGGCUACGAGCCGUUCCAGUGCCGUAGGGAAGCCGUUAAGCCCGCCGCCUGGGGAGUACGGUCGCAAGGCUGAAACUUAAAGGAAUUGGCGGGGGAGCACCGCAACGGGAGGAGCGUGCGGUUUAAUUGGAUUCAACGCCGG
RNAcentral lists this ribosomal RNA (1000 nucleotides) under uncultured archaeon 20c-12. RNAcentral describes it as "bacterial SSU rRNA". It matches the Rfam family "Archaeal small subunit ribosomal RNA", at positions 4 to 921 of the family's 1478-position model. The record is from RNAcentral.